GACGAACGCUGGCGGCGUGCUUAACACAUGCAAGUCGAACGGAAAGGCCCUGCUUUUGUGGGGUGCUCGAGUGGCGAACGGGUGAGUAACACGUGAGUAACCUGCCCUUGACUUUGGGAUAACUUCAGGAAACUGGGGCUAAUACCGGAUAGGAGCUCCUGCUGCAUGGUGGGGGUUGGAAAGUUUCGGCGGUUGGGGAUGGACUAGCGGCUUAUCAGCUUGUUGGUGGGGUAGUGGCUUACCAAGGCUUUGACGGGUAGCCGGCCUGAGAGGGUGACCGGCGACAUGGGUACUGAGAUACGGCCCAGACGCCUACGGUAGGCAGCAGGGGGGAAUAUUGCACAAUGGGCGGAAGCCUGAGGCAGCAACGCCGCGUGCGGGAUGACGGCCUUCGGGGUGUAAACCGCUGUCGCCUGUGACGAAGCGUGAGUGACGGUAAUGGGUAAAGAAGCACCGGCUAACUACGUG
RNAcentral lists this ribosomal RNA (468 nucleotides) under uncultured bacterium. Its description in RNAcentral is "partial 16S ribosomal RNA". It matches the Rfam family "Bacterial small subunit ribosomal RNA", at positions 28 to 507 of the family's 1533-position model. The record is from RNAcentral.